Non-coding RNA from Parelaphostrongylus tenuis, 75 nucleotides. The record is from the annotation of a GenBank genome assembly. Lineage: Eukaryota; Metazoa; Nematoda; Chromadorea; Rhabditida; Metastrongylidae.
GCGUCGGUGGUGCAACAGUUUAAGCACAUGCUUCCGGUAAGAGUAAGAUCUGGGUUCAAAUCCUGGCUGAACGCA